RNAcentral lists this ribosomal RNA (433 nucleotides) under uncultured eukaryote. RNAcentral describes it as "bacterial SSU rRNA". It matches the Rfam family "Eukaryotic small subunit ribosomal RNA", at positions 592 to 1018 of the family's 1831-position model. The record is from RNAcentral.
CAGUAGCGUAUAUUAAAGUUGUUGCAGUUAAAAAGCUCGUAGUUGGAUUUCUGGUUUGGACCGCCUGGCCGGCCGCCGUUAGGCGCGCCAGUGCCGGGUUGUGUCUUGCCAUCCGCCUAUCUUCGUCCCGCGCCCCUUUAUUGGGUGUCGUGGUGUACGGUUAGGCCAUUUACUUUGAAAAAUUAGAGUGUUUCAAGCAGGCAUUUGCUGUGAAUACAUUAGCAUGGAAUAAUAACAUAGGACUUUUGUUCUAUUUUGUUGGUUUCCUGAACGGAAGUAAUGAUUGAUAGGGACAGUUGGGGGUGCUAGUAUUCCGUGGCCAGAGGUGAAAUUCUUGGAUUCACGGAAGACUAACUUAUGCGAAAGCAUUCACCAAGGAUGUCUUCUUUAAUCAAGAACGAAAGUUGGGGGAUCGAAGACGAUUAGAUACCAU